RNAcentral lists this ribosomal RNA (422 nucleotides) under uncultured bacterium. Its description in RNAcentral is "bacterial SSU rRNA". It matches the Rfam family "Bacterial small subunit ribosomal RNA", at positions 360 to 773 of the family's 1533-position model. The record is from RNAcentral.
AAUUGUUCGCAAUGGGCGCAAGCCUGACGACGCAACGCCGCGUGGAGGAUGAAGAUCUUCGGGUCGUAAGCUCCUGUCGAGUGGGAAGAAUAGCCUCGGGGUAAAUAUCCCCGGGGCCUGACGGUACCACUAAAGGAAGCCCCGGCUAACUCCGUGCCAGCAGCCGCGGUAAUACGGGGGGGGCAAGCGUUGUUCGGAAUUACUGGGCGUAAAGCGCACGUAGGCGGGUCGUUAAGUCAGGGGUGAAAUCCCAGAGCUCAACUCUGGAACUGCCUUUGAUACUGGCGACCUAGAGUCCGGAAGAGGUUAGUGGAAUUCCCAGUGUAGAGGUGAAAUUCGUAGAUAUUGGGAAGAACACCAGUGGCGAAGGCGGCUAACUGGUCCGGUACUGACGCUGAGGUGCGAAAGCGUGGGGAGCAAAC